Molecule: ribosomal RNA, 253 nt
Filed under: uncultured bacterium
Lineage: Bacteria
Description: partial 16S ribosomal RNA
Rfam family: Bacterial small subunit ribosomal RNA
Source: RNAcentral
UACGGGGGGGGCAAGCGUUGUUCGGAAUUACUGGGCGUAAAGGGCGCGUAGGCGGCCUUCUAAGUCGGACGUGAAAUCCCUCGGCUUAACCGAGGAACUGCGUCCGAUACUGAAAGGCUUGAAUCCGGGAGAGGGAUGUGGAAUUCCAGGUGUAGCGGUGAAAUGCGUAGAUAUCUGGAGGAACACCGGUGGCGAAGGCGGGUCUCUGGGCAAUUCCUGACGCUGAGGCGCGAAAGCGUGGGGAGCAAACGGG